GAUAAACGCUAGCGGCAGGCUUAACACAUGCAAGUCGAGGGGCAGCAUAGAUUGUAGCAAUACAAUUGGUGGCGACCGGCGCACGGGUGCGUAACGCGUAUGCAACCUACCCGUCACAGGGGGAUAAUCCGGAGAAAUCUGGGCUAAUACCCCUUAACAUAGGGAUCGGCAUCGUUUCAUGUUGAAAUUUUCGGAGGUUACGGAUGGGCAUGCGUGGCAUUAGCUUGUUAGUGAGGCAACGGCUCACAAAGGCGACGAUGCUUAGGGGGACUGAGAGGUUUUCCCCCCACACUGUUACUGAGAGACGGACCAGACUGCUACGGGAGGCAGCCGUGAGGAAUAUUGGUCAAUCGGCGCAAGCCUGAACCAGCCAUGCCGCGUGCAGGAUGACGGCUCUAUGAGUUGUAAACUGCUUUUGUACGAGGGUAAAGUGGGUUACGUGUAACCUUUUGAAAGUAUCGUACGAAUAAGGAUCGGCUAACUCCGUGCCAGCAGCCGCCGUAA
Molecule: ribosomal RNA, 504 nt
Filed under: uncultured bacterium
Lineage: Bacteria
Description: partial 16S ribosomal RNA
Rfam family: Bacterial small subunit ribosomal RNA
Source: RNAcentral